This is a long non-coding RNA of Nicotiana tabacum (common tobacco), 1473 nucleotides long. RefSeq lists it as uncharacterized. Lineage: Eukaryota; Viridiplantae; Streptophyta; Magnoliopsida; Solanales; Solanaceae. The record is from RefSeq and is a predicted model, not a curated record.
UUACAACACAGUGGUUACGUGGCUUUAAGCCAUUCAUUUCCUUUUCGUUUUUUUCUUUUUGGACUUUGCUCUCAUAAAUUGGUUUAAAGACUUAGCAUUAGACACAACUCCACCGCUUGAGAAAGAUAAGCUACUAAAAUUGCAAUUUUAUCGGUUCCGCAAACUUCACGUCAAUGCGUGUGUUGUUACCAUAUUUCAUUCGGAUUCGAAUUAAUACUCUUGAUAACCCAUGGAGCUACUUCUGAGUUAGAUUACAAGUAAACUUCUGCGCCUAUAAAAAGGGAUUCAGACCUAUCCUUGUACCAUAACUCAAUUUUCAGCCUUCCACAGCUACCGUGUGCCUCGUUGGAUGCAGGAGUGAUGGUCCAUUUUUUUCUAGCGUCCUUCUCCUUCUGAAGUUGGAUGCUGCGCAAAAAAUAAGUAGCGACCUUUAAUCCUCCUGGUAUCUUGGUUGGAGAUCCCUGUUGCUGUCCGUAGUCCACCGAAGAAGAAUGUGACGCCGAUUCUGUUGGAGAUAAACGUGGCCAAUGGAAAAUUCUUGUAAAGAUUCCAAACCAAAGCUUCUCAGGAUUUUAUAAUAACAGCUUCGUAUCGCUGGUACCGUAUCUACAGAAACUUCGUGUUGUUAGCAUCGAGAACUUUCAAAGUUUUUUUUUUUAAGGCUUAUGAGAGAGUACCAGUGGUCUUCGAUAUGCCUAAGGAGAUGCACGAGAUGCCUAUAUGACUUGCAGCGAAACACUCUCUUUGUUGCGGCUUGGCGAGAGAGUCACAUGAAGUAUCCUUUCAAUCUCGACAAAAUCCCUACUCUUGAAGGCUUGGAGAGACAGUAUUUCAUCAUUGCCGAGCGAACAUGUGCCCUAUCAUAUCUUUGCAGGUUGGCGAGGAGGAUAACCGGAGUAGGCCUUCCAACUUCGGCGAGCAAGCACCUGGUGGUCUCUGCUACUUUGACUUCAUAGCAUGAAAAAAUUGUAUCUCGACCUACAAGUUUCUAAACUGCAAUCCGCUUAGCUCUACAGAAUCAAAACUUGCACCACAAUGACAUAUCCAAAAUUUAGGGCCAAAUACUAUCAGGACAAGUCGGAAUAAACUUUUGAAAGUGAUGCACAAGUCUGUCAUUUUGACUGUACAGCACUGCAUAAUGUAAUUCGAACGCAUAUAUCUCAAGCUAGGAACGUCCAAAUCACUAGCCGUCUGCGCCACUGGAAAGAAGACUCAGAGAUAAGGAAAUUUGCAAAAUAUCAUGGAAGGAUUCCUAAUGGAUUAGCCGCAGCAAUUUCCGAAAAUUAACCGGUCUGUCUGUCGAACUUGCUGUUCAGCUUUAUGCACUCUUGUGGAAAAAUUCACAUCUCGAGCUACAGGUGUCGGAAUCGCGAACCAUCUAUUCCAUUGGAAAGAAAACUACGAUUUCUGAAACACCUGAAGAUAUCAUGGACAAAAUCCUUUUAGAUUGUUUGAAACGCUAUUUUGAAUUCU